Molecule: ribosomal RNA, 395 nt
Filed under: uncultured bacterium
Lineage: Bacteria
Description: partial 16S ribosomal RNA
Rfam family: Bacterial small subunit ribosomal RNA
Source: RNAcentral
AUACGUAGGGUGCAAGCGUUAAUCGGAAUUACUGGGCGUAAAGCGUGCGCAGGCGGUUUUGUAAGACAGAGGUGAAAUCCCCGGGCUCAACCUGGGAACUGCCUUUGUGACUGCAAGGCUAGAGUACGGCAGAGGGGGAUGGAAUUCCGCGUGUAGCAGUGAAAUGCGUAGAUAUGCGGAGGAACACCGAUGGCGAAGGCAAUCCCCUGGGCCUGUACUGACGCUCAUGCACGAAAGCGUGGGGAGCAAACAGGAUUAGAUACCCUGGUAGUCCACGCCCUAAACGAUGUCAACUGGUUGUUGGGUCUUCAUUGACUCAGUAACGAAGCUAACGCGUUAAGUUGACCGCCUGGGGAGUACGGCCGCAAGGUUGAAACUCAAAUGAAUUGACGGGG